UCCAGGCUCGUUUAACGGUAGGAUGCGCGGUUGUUACCCGCGUCGUGGGGGUUCAAAUCCCUCGCCUGGAG
This 71-nucleotide transfer RNA is filed under the name Kouleothrix aurantiaca. It matches the Rfam family "tRNA". From Rfam's summary of the family: Transfer RNA (tRNA) molecules are approximately 80 nucleotides in length. Their secondary structure includes four short double-helical elements and three loops (D, anti-codon, and T loops). Further hydrogen bonds mediate the characteristic L-shaped molecular structure. tRNAs have two regions of fundamental functional importance: the anti-codon, which is responsible for specific mRNA codon recognition, and the 3' end, to which the tRNAs corresponding amino acid is attached (by aminoacyl-tRNA synthetases). tRNAs cope with the degeneracy of the genetic code in two manners: having more than one tRNA (with a specific anti-codon) for a particular amino acid; and 'wobble' base-pairing, i.e. permitting non-standard base-pairing at the 3rd anti-codon position. The record is from Rfam by way of RNAcentral. Lineage: Bacteria; Bacillati; Chloroflexota; Chloroflexia; Chloroflexales; Roseiflexaceae.